Molecule: ribosomal RNA, 497 nt
Filed under: uncultured bacterium
Lineage: Bacteria
Description: partial 16S ribosomal RNA
Rfam family: Bacterial small subunit ribosomal RNA
Source: RNAcentral
GAUGAACGCUGGCGGCGUGCCUAAUACAUGCAAGUCGAGCGAACGGACGAGAAGCUUGCUUCUCUGAUGUUUGCGGCGGACGGGUGAGUAACACGUGGAUAACCUACCUAUAAGACUGGGAUAACUUCGGGAAACCGGAGCUAAUACCGGAUGAUAUUUUGAACCGCAUGGUUCAAAAGUGAAAGACGGUCUUGCUGUCACUUAUCGAUGGAUCCGCGCUGCAUUAGCUAGUUGGUGAGGUAACGGCUUACCAAGGCAACGAUGCAUAGCCGACCUGAGAGGGUGGUCGGCCACACUGGAACUGAGACACGGUCCAGACUCCUACGGGAGGCAGCAGUAGGGAAUCUUCCGCAAAGGGCGAAAGCCUGACGGAGCAACGCCGCGUGAGUGAUGAAGGUCUUCGGAUCGUAAAACUCUGUUAUUAGGGAAGAACAUAUGUGUAAGUAACUGUGCACAUCUUGACGGUACCUAAUCAGAAAGCCACGGCUAACUACGUG